UUAAGCGACUAAGCGUACACGGUGGAUGCCCUGGCAGUCAGAGGCGAUGAAGGACGUGCUAAUCUGCGAUAAGCGUCGGUAAGGUGAUAUGAACCGUUAUAACCGGCGAUUUCCGAAUGGGGAAACCCAGUGUGAUUCGUCACACUAUCAUUAACUGAAUCCAUAGGUUAAUGAGGCGAACCGGGGGAACUGAAACAUCUAAGUACCCCGAGGAAAAGAAAUCAACCGAGAUUCCCCCAGUAGCGGCGAGCGAACGGGGAGCAGCCCAGAGCCUGAAUCAGUGUGUGUGUUAGUGGAAGCGUCUGGAAAGGCGCGCGAUACAGGGUGACAGCCCCGUACACAAAAAUGCACAUGCUGUGAGCUCGAUGAGUAGGGCGGGACACGUGGUAUCCUGUCUGAAUAUGGGGGGACCAUCCUCCAAGGCUAAAUACUCCUGACUGACCGAUAGUGAACCAGUACCGUGAGGGAAAGGCGAAAAGAACCCCGGCGAGGGGAGUGAAAAAGAACCUGAAACCGUGUACGUACAAGCAGUGGGAGCACAGAGCAAUCUGUGUGACUGCGUACCUUUUGUAUAAUGGGUCAGCGACUUAUAUUCUGUAGCAAGGUUAACCGAAUAGGGGAGCCGAAGGGAAACCGAGUCUUAACUGGGCGUUAAGUUGCAGGGUAUAGACCCGAAACCCGGUGAUCUAGCCAUGGGCAGGUUGAAGGUUGGGUAACACUAACUGGAGGACCGAACCGACUAAUGUUGAAAAAUUAGCGGAUGACUUGUGGCUGGGGGGGAAAGGCCAAUCAAACCGGGAGAUAGCUGGUUCUCCCCGAAAGCUAUUUAGGUAGCGCCUCGUGAAUUCAUCUCCGGGGGUAGAGCACUGUUUCGGCAAGGGGGUCAUCCCGACUUACCAACCCGAUGCAAACUGCGAAUACCGGAGAAUGUUAUCACGGGAGACACACGGCGGGUGCUAACGUCCGUCGUGAAGAGGGAAACAACCCAGACCGCCAGCUAAGGUCCCAAAGUCAUGGUUAAGUGGGAAACGAUGUGGGAAGGCCCAGACAGCCAGGAUGUUGGCUUAGAAGCAGCCAUCAUUUAAAGAAAGCGUAAUAGCUCACUGGUCGAGUCGGCCUGCGCGGAAGAUGUAACGGGGCUAAACCAUGCACCGAAGCUGCGGCAGCGACGCUUAUGCGUUGUUGGGUAGGGGAGCGUUCUGUAAGCCUGCGAAGGUGUGCUGUGAGGCUUGCUGGAGGUAUCAGAAGUGCGAAUGCUGACAUAAGUAACGAUAAAGCGGGUGAAAAGCCCGCUCGCCGGAAGACCAAGGGUUCCUGUCCAACGUUAAUCGGGGCAGGGUGAGUCGACCCCUAAGGCGAGGCCGAAAGGCGUAGUCGAUGGGAAACAGGUUAAUAUUCCUGUACUUGGUGUUACUGCGAAGGGGGGACGGAGAAGGCUAUGUUGGCCGGGCGACGGUUGUCCCGGUUUAAGCGUGUAGGCUGGUUUUCCAGGCAAAUCCGGAAAAUCAAGGCUGAGGCGUGAUGACGAGGCACUACGGUGCUGAAGCAACAAAUGCCCUGCUUCCAGGAAAAGCCUCUAAGCAUCAGGUAACAUCAAAUCGUACCCCAAACCGACACAGGUGGUCAGGUAGAGAAUACCAAGGCGCUUGAGAGAACUCGGGUGAAGGAACUAGGCAAAAUGGUGCCGUAACUUCGGGAGAAGGCACGCUGAUAUGUAGGUGAAACGACUUGCUCGUGGAGCUGAAAUCAGUCGAAGAUACCAGCUGGCUGCAACUGUUUAUUAAAAACACAGCACUGUGCAAACACGAAAGUGGACGUAUACGGUGUGACGCCUGCCCGGUGCCGGAAGGUUAAUUGAUGGGGUCAGCGCAAGCGAAGCUCUUGAUCGAAGCCCCGGUAAACGGCGGCCGUAACUAUAACGGUCCUAAGGUAGCGAAAUUCCUUGUCGGGUAAGUUCCGACCUGCACGAAUGGCGUAAUGAUGGCCAGGCUGUCUCCACCCGAGACUCAGUGAAAUUGAACUCGCUGUGAAGAUGCAGUGUACCCGCGGCAAGACGGAAAGACCCCGUGAACCUUUACUAUAGCUUGACACUGAACAUUGAGCCUUGAUGUGUAGGAUAGGUGGGAGGCUUUGAAGUGUGGACGCCAGUCUGCAUGGAGCCGACCUUGAAAUACCACCCUUUAAUGUUUGAUGUUCUAACGUUGACCCGUGAUCCGGGUUGCGGACAGUGUCUGGUGGGUAGUUUGACUGGGGCGGUCUCCUCCUAAAGAGUAACGGAGGAGCACGAAGGUUGGCUAAUCCUGGUCGGACAUCAGGAGGUUAGUGCAAUGGCAUAAGCCAGCUUGACUGCGAGCGUGACGGCGCGAGCAGGUGCGAAAGCAGGUCAUAGUGAUCCGGUGGUUCUGAAUGGAAGGGCCAUCGCUCAACGGAUAAAAGGUACUCCGGGGAUAACAGGCUGAUACCGCCCAAGAGUUCAUAUCGACGGCGGUGUUUGGCACCUCGAUGUCGGCUCAUCACAUCCUGGGGCUGAAGUAGGUCCCAAGGGUAUGGCUGUUCGCCAUUUAAAGUGGUACGCGAGCUGGGUUUAGAACGUCGUGAGACAGUUCGGUCCCUAUCUGCCGUGGGCGCUGGAGAACUGAGGGGGGCUGUUCCUAGUACGAGAGGACCGGAGUGGACGCAUCACUGGUGUUCGGGUUGUCAUGCCAAUGGCACUGCCCGGUAGCUAAAUGCGGAAGAGAUAAGUGCUGAAAGCAUCUAAGCACGAAACUUGCCCCGAGAUGAGUUCUCCCUGACUCCUUGAGAGUCCUGAAGGAACGUUGAAGACGACGACGUUGAUAGGCCGGGUGUGUAAGCGCAGCGAUGCGUUGAGCUAACCGGUACUAAUGAACCGUGAGGCUUAACCUU
Molecule: ribosomal RNA, 2904 nt
Filed under: Escherichia coli KTE146
Lineage: Bacteria; Pseudomonadati; Pseudomonadota; Gammaproteobacteria; Enterobacterales; Enterobacteriaceae
Description: bacterial LSU rRNA
Rfam family: Bacterial large subunit ribosomal RNA
Source: RNAcentral